Molecule: long non-coding RNA, 1484 nt
Organism: Triticum dicoccoides
Lineage: Eukaryota; Viridiplantae; Streptophyta; Magnoliopsida; Poales; Poaceae
Exons: 3
Source: RefSeq, a predicted model, not a curated record
GACAAGAAAGAAUUACAGGCAGUUCCACCUGGAGGUGGGACAGGCUGUGGAAAUUGAAUGUAUUGUAAAGAUUUAGGAUGUAAACCAGGAGGUGAUCAAAGUAUUGGAGGGGCUGGGAUUUCGUGAAGGCCAUACCACUGCAGGAAACUUGGCUUACUUGGGAGUAUGAUCCAUGCUUUAUGAUGUUGUGAGUGACUUCUCGUGUUUAGUGCUUGCAGCGUAGAUCAGUAGAUGGAGAAGAGCCGACUUAACUGGAGUCCACACAGCACAAACGAACCAGAGUGUUUACAUUUCUUUCAAGUGCAAGAAGGCAGUUACACUACUGAAAUUAUAUGCGGAUGAAAUGCUUGGGACUACAAGAUGCUACAAGGAAACUAAAUGCAAAAGAAAACUAUGGAGGAAGUAUUAUGUGCAAUACUAAAUCUGGAGGAAGAAUAAAAAUCAAGGUAAUGACUAUAUUACAUCCAUGGUGGCCUGAAAGAGACAAAAUCAGGGGGGAUGGUGAAAGUAGAAAUGUAGAAGAGCUUUCUUAUAUUGUCUCCAAGCAAGCUGAGGAAUACUAUUAAGUUUCUCAAAAAAAGGAGAUGAAAUAAGAACCAAAAUAAAAACAAAGGGAAUGACAAUGACCUGAAAGAGGAACUUUGAAGGUAAACCGUGAUGGAGUUUUCCUUGCUGAAAAUACUAAUGAUGGUUGUGGAGCCACAAUUAGUGAUGAUGAAGAAGAUGUAGUCGGUUGUGGGAUGAGGAAAACUGCGAAUAUCCUGAACAUACAAACAAAACAUGUAAACUGGGAGUACUGCCAGUUUAGGAGCAAAGUAACCAUUACUAGAGUAAUGAAUCUGAGAAAUUAGUUGUUGAACUUGAGAACUGUUGUAAUUCUCGACAAUGAGAUGGUCUUAUUUUUUGUCCCAGUAAAGGUUGGAGGUAGAAUCAGCUUCAAGCUCGAGUACCCAAUGGUAGAGAAAUAGAAAGGAGGCACAAGAUGGAAGUAUGAACUCUGGCAGUAACAUUUUUAAUUUUCCAAGUUAUGUUGAUGAUGUUAAGGUUAAUGGACAACUCUACAGGCACUUAGUAGAACACAAGCUUUUGUUGUUGAGUUCAAUAUAAGGUGUCCUGUGUAUUUUUUAAGGUGUCAUGUUUCUCAAGAGAAUACAUCUGCACGUAAGGAACCAGCUAAUAAAUGAACUAGCUCACAAGCAGUCUUUGCUUUUGCUUCAUUGAUUUCAUUGUAGCAUAGUUCUAUUCAUAUUUCUGAUACUUAUUUUUUCUGUAUCACUUACAAUUUUCGUUUAGCAAAGUGAUGUCCCUCUUGAAUAAUCAUAUGCUGCUGUCAGUUCGAACAUUGCACUUAGCAAAUUUAAUCUUUUAUGGGAUUGGAUGUGAUUUUCUCUUCCCUUAUACUAAUUCUAACAUUAAUGGGAUAUUGCGUACAAUGUUCUAAUGCUAAGCUGUUGUAAGUACUCGGUUAUCAAAAAAAAACUUGU